This 375-nucleotide ribosomal RNA is filed under the name uncultured bacterium. RNAcentral's name for it is "bacterial SSU rRNA". It matches the Rfam family "Bacterial small subunit ribosomal RNA", at positions 525 to 896 of the family's 1533-position model. The record is from RNAcentral.
ACGUAGGGACCAAGCGUUGUCCGGAUUUAUUGGGCGUAAAGAGCUCGUAGGCGGUUCAGUCAGUCGGGUGUGAAAACUUCGGGCUUAACUCGAAGCAUGCAUCCGAUACUGCUGUGACUUGAGUCCGGUAGGGGAGUGGGGAAUUCCUGGUGUAGCGGUGAAAUGCGCAGAUAUCAGGAGGAACACCGGUGGCGAAGGCGCCACUCUGGGCCGGUACUGACGCUGAGGAGCGAAAGCGUGGGUAGCAAACAGGAUUAGAUACCCUGGUAGUCCACGCUGUAAACGUUGGGCACUAGGUGUGGGCUCUAACCAACGGAGUCCGUGCCGCAGCUAACGCAUUAAGUGCCCCGCCUGGGGAGUACGGCCGCAAGGUUA